Molecule: unclassified non-coding RNA, 413 nt
Filed under: soil metagenome
Description: partial contains 5.8S ribosomal RNA, internal transcribed spacer 2, and large subunit ribosomal RNA
Rfam family: 5.8S ribosomal RNA (bases 1-122)
Source: RNAcentral
GAUGAAGAACGUAGCGAAAUGCGAUACUUGGUGUGAAUUGCAGAAUCCCGUGAACCAUCGAGUUUUUGAACGCAAGUUGCGCCCGAAGCCACUAGGCCGAGGGCACGUCUGCCUGGGCGUCACACACCGUUGCCCCCCCUGAACCUCGCCAAUCCCUCUACAGGAGAGGCAGCCAGGAGGGGCGGAGAUUGGCCUCCCAUGAGCUUGUGUCUCGUGGUUGGCCUAAAUUCGAGUCAUCGGCUGCGAUCGCCGCGACAUUCGGUGGUUUUCGAUUGUAUCGGUGCCCCGUCGUGCGCGAAUCUGCAGCUGAGUGGACCAAUGCGACCCCAAUGCAUUACAUUGUAGUGCCUUCAACGCGACCCCAGGUCAGGCGGGAUUACCCGCUGAAUUUAAGCAUAUCAAUAAGCGGAGGA